UGGCGCAGCUGCCGUGGUGGCAGCAGCUUAAGUGGCGGCGGCGGCGGCGGCGGCGGUGGCGGCUGCAACAGCUCCGGACUCGGGGCUUUGGCGGCGGCGCCGGCAGGCUGGGCUGCACGGUGCCGAGCCCGGCGCGCGGUCCGGGUUGCUGGGGCGGCGCGUAAGAUGCCUCAAAUGGAGGAGUUUCUAAGAAGCACCUCUGGGCCUGUGGCUUUGAAAGGGAGCUCAAAGCAGAGACUAUUUACAGCCCUAGACAUCACAUCCUGAGGGCUGCAGGAGAGGAGAAUAUGGCCGUGGCCAUGAGUUUAGAUGACGACGUUCCCCUCAUUCUGACCUUGGACGAAAGUGGGGGUGCCCCACUGCCUCCCUCCAAUGGCCUGGACCAAGAGGAGCUGCCUAGCAGAAAGCUGAUUGUCCUGGAAGCUGCCCUCGUUGUCCCCAGCCA
Molecule: long non-coding RNA, 445 nt
Organism: Hipposideros armiger (great roundleaf bat)
Lineage: Eukaryota; Metazoa; Chordata; Mammalia; Chiroptera; Hipposideridae
Exons: 3
Source: RefSeq, a predicted model, not a curated record